CGUCAAAUCAUCAUGCCCCUUAUGACCUGGGCUACACACGUAAUACAAUGGUCGCUAACAACGGGAAGCGAAGGCGCGAGCCGGAGCAAAACCCCAAAAGCGGUCUCAGUUCGGAUCGCAGGCUGCAACUCGCCUGCGUGAAGUCGGAAUUGCUAGUAAUCGCGGAUCAGCAUGCCGCGGUGAAUACGUUCCCGGGCCUU
This 200-nucleotide ribosomal RNA is filed under the name uncultured prokaryote. RNAcentral's name for it is "partial 16S ribosomal RNA". It matches the Rfam family "Bacterial small subunit ribosomal RNA", at positions 1183 to 1382 of the family's 1533-position model. The record is from RNAcentral.